Molecule: long non-coding RNA, 393 nt
Organism: Danio aesculapii
Lineage: Eukaryota; Metazoa; Chordata; Actinopteri; Cypriniformes; Danionidae
Exons: 3
Source: RefSeq, a predicted model, not a curated record
AAGUCACGUUCAGAGCUUCUGAAUGACAACAUUCUGUUGGGAAAACAGGAAAACAUGUCUAGACCGUUUUACACACAGAUGCUGCAGAUGACAGCUCACUUACAAUGGUUUAAAAACAAUAAACAACACGUUUCCAGCUUAUCAACACGUAAUAAGGAUGCACAAUGUGAUAAAGAGAGUCUGGAGUGUCAAACGACUCACCGAAUGAGGCAUGUGUUUGGAAAAUAGUCAACAGACGGAGAGCUCUGGAUCGUUUGGAUUGAUCUUCAUUGCAGUGAUGGACAUCAGCUGUGGACAGGUGAUGCAUCUAUGAUCCUCCAGCACAUGAUCAGAUGUCCCUCCUGGAUGCAGUGGAGGCUUCAGAAACUUUUCAGACUGAAGAGGCAAAUCUGG